RNAcentral lists this long non-coding RNA (527 nucleotides) under Sinocyclocheilus anshuiensis. Its description in RNAcentral is "lncRNA (ENSSANG00000041636.1)". The record is from RNAcentral. Lineage: Eukaryota; Metazoa; Chordata; Actinopteri; Cypriniformes; Cyprinidae.
UGCCUGCAUUAAGCGUAAAGGACACCUUAUACCCUAUUGAUGAGUGCUUAACAGCAUCUCCAAUGUUGCUGUUUAAAGUUUGAUUUUAGAACUCAUAUCUUAACUGAUUUUAAGUUAUAUUUUUGCAUUAAAUGCUUUGUAUUGUAACUAAUAAGAGACUUUAUUGUUGCGACUGCCUGCCGUGAGACUUUACUUGUAACUACAAACUGAGCCUCAAACAAGAACAACCACAAGGGAGUCUUCUACGUCAUUCCUGAAGAACUUCAACCUGCGGACGGCCAUCCCAUAAAACGAGAAGAAGAAAACGAAGAUACCAAACUUUGAGUUCAUAUUACUUCACUGUUCCGACCAGGACACUUGACAUUGAGCAAAAACAGAAGUUAUUUUACAAAAAUCAGCAAACUGCAACAAAGCGAAAAGGUACGCACUAUCUACUCAUCUCCAAUCAACAUGUGAGCAGAAUAGGAUUGGAGAGAUGGAACAGGAGAAAAAGACAAGAGCUUUAAGGGGGAGUUGUAACAUUGCCA